Molecule: ribosomal RNA, 333 nt
Filed under: uncultured soil bacterium
Lineage: Bacteria
Description: bacterial SSU rRNA
Rfam family: Bacterial small subunit ribosomal RNA
Source: RNAcentral
AGAACGAACGCUGGCGGCAGGCUUAACACAUGCAAGUCGAACGGUUGUAGCAAUACAGCAGUGGCAGACGGGUGAGUAACACGUGGGAACCUUCCUAGGGGUACGGAACAACUCAGGGAAACUUGAGCUAAUACCGUAUACGUCCGUGAGGAGAAAGUUUUAACGCCCCUAGACGGGGCCCGCGUAGGAUUAGGUAGUUGGUGAGGUAACGGCUCACCAAGCCUACGAUCCUUAGCUGAUCUGAGAGGAUGAUCAGCCACACUGGGACUGAGACACGGCCCAGACUCCUACGGGAGGCCAGCAGUGGGGAAUCUUGGACAAUGGGCGCAAGCC